AGCCNGGUGCUUGCACCGGGUGGANGAGUGGCGAACGGGUGAGUAACACGUGAGUAACCUGCCCCUGACUUCGGGAUAAGCCCGGGAAACUGGGUCUAAUACCGKAUACGACCGUCGGACGCAUGUCUGGUGGUGGAAAGUUUUUUCGGUUGGGGAUGGGCUCGCGGCCUAUCAGUUUGUUGGUGAGGUAAUGGCUCACCAAGACGACGACGGGUAGCCGGCCUGAGAGGGCGACCGGCCACACUGGGACUGAGACACGGCCCAGACUCCUACGGGAGGCAGCAGUGGGGAAUAUUGCACAAUGGGGGAAACCCUGAUGCAGCGACGCAGCGUGCGGGAUGACGGCCUUCGGGUUGUAAACCGCUUUCAGCAGGGAAGAAGCGCAAGUGACGGUACCUGCAGAAGAAGUACCGGCUAACUACGUGCCAGCAGCCGCGGUAAUACGUAGGGUACGAGCGUUGUCCGGAAUUAUUGGGCGUAAAGAGCUCGUAGGUGGUUGGUCACGUCUGCUGUGGAAACGCAACGCUUAACGUUGCGCGUGCAGUGGGUACGGGCUGACUAGAGUGCAGUAGGGGAGUCUGGAAUUCCUGGUGUAGCGGUGAAAUGCGCAGAUAUCAGGAGGAACACCGGUGGCGAANGCGGGACUCUGGGCUGUAACUGACACUGAGGAGCGAAAGCAUGGGGAGCGAACAGGAUUAGAUACCCUGGUAGUCCAUGCCGUAAACGUUGGGCACUAGGUGUGGGGGGCAUUCCACGUUCUCCGCGCCGUANCUAACGCAUUAAGUGNCCCGCCUGGGGAGUACGGUCGCAAGGCUAAAACUCAAAGGAAUUGACGGGGGNCCGCACAAGCGGCGGANCAUGCGGAUUAAUUC
Molecule: ribosomal RNA, 872 nt
Filed under: Brevibacterium casei
Lineage: Bacteria; Bacillati; Actinomycetota; Actinomycetes; Micrococcales; Brevibacteriaceae
Description: bacterial SSU rRNA
Source: RNAcentral